Molecule: long non-coding RNA, 479 nt
Organism: Xiphophorus hellerii (green swordtail)
Lineage: Eukaryota; Metazoa; Chordata; Actinopteri; Cyprinodontiformes; Poeciliidae
Exons: 3
Source: RefSeq, a predicted model, not a curated record
UGAAGAGGAUGCAAAUCAGUUUCCCUCCUCUCUCCAGUUCAUAAAUGCUUCUCUGAAAAGUCAAUGAAGUCCUUUCCCUCUUAUCAGAGCUAAAUUCGGUCGAUAUAUGUUUUGUUUGUUUGCCUUUUCAAUGUUGCCAUUUUUUAUGGAGGGUCACUUUCUUGGCAUGUUCGAUAAACAAACUGGUUCUCUGUGCAAUAUCAUUCCUGGUUGUUUGGAUUGGAAUAAGCGUAACCUUCAGUGCGAUCUGCCCCUCAUCAAACUGCCCGUCCUUUAAGAUGUCCCAGUCCGCUGUUGUUGAGGAAGGAGGCACAUUGGAGCACCUGUGGAGCUCUCUAGAGCCAGACAGCACCUAUUAUGAGCUGCCCCCAAGCAGCCAGCGCGGUGAGCACCCGGUUCCAUCUACCAGCACGCCAGGGAAUCACCGAAACUGUGCGGAGGUCUCCAUGGACGUCUAUCACAUCAGAGACAUGAACGAC